RNAcentral lists this transfer RNA (68 nucleotides) under Fukomys damarensis (Damara mole-rat). It matches the Rfam family "tRNA". From Rfam's summary of the family: Transfer RNA (tRNA) molecules are approximately 80 nucleotides in length. Their secondary structure includes four short double-helical elements and three loops (D, anti-codon, and T loops). Lineage: Eukaryota; Metazoa; Chordata; Mammalia; Rodentia; Bathyergidae. The record is from Rfam by way of RNAcentral.
GGCGGCGUAGCUCAGAGGUAGAGCACAUGCUUAGUGUUCAUGGGAUCCUGGGUUAGAUGCCCAGGCCA